RNAcentral lists this ribosomal RNA (301 nucleotides) under uncultured bacterium. RNAcentral's name for it is "partial 16S ribosomal RNA". It matches the Rfam family "Bacterial small subunit ribosomal RNA", at positions 509 to 807 of the family's 1533-position model. The record is from RNAcentral.
CAGCAGCCGCGGUAAUACAGAGGGUGCGAGCGUUAAUCGGAUUUACUGGGCGUAAAGCGUGCGUAGGCGGCUUCUUAAGUCGGAUGUGAAAUCCCUGAGCUUAACUUAGGAAUUGCAUUCGAUACUGGGAAGCUAGAGUAUGGGAGAGGAUGGUAGAAUUCCAGGUGUAGCGGUGAAAUGCGUAGAGAUCUGGAGGAAUACCGAUGGCGAAGGCAGCCAUCUGGCCUAAUACUGACGCUGAGGUACGAAAGCAUGGGGAGCAAACAGGACUAGAUACCCCGGUAGUCCCUGUCUCUUAUAC